Molecule: unclassified non-coding RNA, 379 nt
Filed under: uncultured Oligoflexales bacterium
Lineage: Bacteria; Pseudomonadati; Bdellovibrionota; Oligoflexia; Oligoflexales
Description: contains 16S-23S intergenic spacer region
Source: RNAcentral
UCCGUGUUACCACGGCAGUCUCCUUAGAGUUCCCAACUUAAUGAAGGCAACUAAGGACAAGGGUUGCGCUCGUUGCGGGACUUAACCCAACAUGUCACCACACGAGCUGACGACAGCCAUGCAGCACCGGUCAUACUGUUGUAUUGCUACAAAAGCCGUAUCUCUACGGUUGUCAGUAUGAUGUCAAACCCAGGUAAGGUUUUUCGCGUUGCUUCGAAUUAAACCACAUGAUCCACCGCUUGUGCGGGCCCCCGUCAAUUCCUUUGAGUUUUAAUCUUGCGACCGUACUUCCCAGGCGGGGUACUUAGCGCGUUAGCUACGGUUCGGCGGGGGUCAAGACCCACCAAACCUAGUACCCAUCGUUUACAGCGUGGACUAC